GACGAACGCUGGCGGCGUGCUUAACACAUGCAAGUCGAACGAAGAGCGAUGGAAGCUUGCUUCUAUCAAUCUUAGUGGCGAACGGGUGAGUAACGCGUAAUCAACCUGCCCUUCAGGGGGGGACAACAGUUGGAAACGACUGCUAAUACCGCAUACGAUCUAAUCUCGGCAUCGAGGAUAGAUGAAAGGUGGCCUCUACAUGUAAGCUAUCACUGAAGGAGGGGAUUGCGUCUGAUUAGCUAGUUGGAGGGGUAACGGCCCACCAAGGCGAUGAUCAGUAGCCGGUCUGAGAGGAUGAACGGCCACAUUGGGACUGAGACACGGCCCAGACUCCUACGGGAGGCAGCAGUGGGGAAUCUUCCGCAAUGGACGAAAGUCUGACGGAGCAACGCCGCGUGAGUGAUGACGGCCUUCGGGUUGUAAAGCUCUGUUAAUCGGGACGAAAGGCCUUCUUGCGAAUAGUGAGAAGGAUUGACGGUACCGGAAUAGAAAGCCACGGCUAACUACGUG
Molecule: ribosomal RNA, 510 nt
Filed under: uncultured bacterium
Lineage: Bacteria
Description: partial 16S ribosomal RNA
Rfam family: Bacterial small subunit ribosomal RNA
Source: RNAcentral